Long non-coding RNA from Betta splendens (Siamese fighting fish), 700 nucleotides. RefSeq lists it as uncharacterized. The record is from RefSeq and is a predicted model, not a curated record. The transcript has 3 exons. NCBI's taxonomy places the organism in Eukaryota, Metazoa, Chordata, Actinopteri, Anabantiformes, Osphronemidae.
UAAGAGGACUACAACAGUUUGCUGCAACAGUUCUUCUCCAUGCUGGAUGGUUAUUCUUCAGACCUGAAAAUGGUGUUUGACAAGGAAGGCGGCAUUGAAGGACAAAAGAUUAAGAGCAUCAUGGUUCCCAUAACCCAGACUAACUUCAUUGAUGUCAGAAGAGUACAUCCUUUAAGCCCAGUGUGUGUUCCUCAAUGAAGAUCCUGGCAACCUUGUGAAAGAAUGGAUGAUCGUGGACGCCUUGAAGAAGCCAUGAUAGAGACAAUGCUUGAAGUUUUUGUCAUUCACAAAGAUGCAGAGGCAGAUGAUGACCCUGAAGAUGUAGUCCUCGUUUCAAGUCCUGGAUGAGUUGGGUAGUGUCCCACUUGCUGUGUUGUUGUUUUCUCUUGUAUAUGCUCUCAACGUCAGCUACCCUCCACUAAAAGUUGUUUGAAAUAUUGGCCCAAUGCUGUAUGUACAAUACUGGAUGUUAGCGACAUUUUAUAGCUGCCUUUGAGAUUUGAAAGCUGUUUUAUCGUUUUUAUGAAGCUUAUAAACUAUUCUAACCAGUCUAAAUCCAAUGUGCUUUGUGUCUUCUCCAACCUACACACCAGCUGGGGAUAUAUGUUAGUUUGCAUAAUAGAAAUACUGUUUCAAAGAUAACUUUAUUUGUAUGUAACUUUGAAAAGCUAAUCUUGGCACAAAACAUUUGAUAACUUUA